GAUGAACGCUGGCGGCGUGCCUAAUACAUGCAAGUCGAGCGAACAGAUGAGGAGCUUGCUCCUCUGACGUUAGCGGCGGACGGGUGAGUAACACGUGGAUAACCUACCUAUAAGACUGGGAUAACUUCGGGAAACCGGAGCUAAUACCGGAUAAUAUAUUGAACCGCAUGGUUCAAUAGUGAAAGACGGUUUUGCUGUCACUUAUAGAUGGAUCCGCGCCGCAUUAGCUAGUUGGUAAGGUAACGGCUUACCAAGGCGACGAUGCGUAGCCGACCUGAGAGGGUGAUCGGCCACACUGGAACUGAGACACGGUCCAGACUCCUACGGGAGGCAGCAGUAGGGAAUCUUCGGCAAUGGGCGAAAGCUUGACGGAGCAACGCCGCGUGAGUGAUGAAGGUCUUCGGAUCGUAAAACUCUGUUAUUAGGGAAGAACAAAUGUGUAAGUAACUAUGCACGUCUUGACGGUACCUAAUCAGAAAGCCACGGCUAACUACGUG
This 497-nucleotide ribosomal RNA is filed under the name uncultured bacterium. RNAcentral describes it as "partial 16S ribosomal RNA". It matches the Rfam family "Bacterial small subunit ribosomal RNA", at positions 28 to 507 of the family's 1533-position model. The record is from RNAcentral.